AUUUAAAUAGUUUAAUUAAAAUAUUAAUUUGUGGAAUUAAAGAUUAUAAAUU
This 52-nucleotide transfer RNA is filed under the name Aphis fabae (black bean aphid). RNAcentral's name for it is "tRNA-His". The record is from RNAcentral. Lineage: Eukaryota; Metazoa; Arthropoda; Insecta; Hemiptera; Aphididae.